UCUACGUGUACAAGGUCCUGAAGCAG
RNAcentral lists this non-coding RNA (26 nucleotides) under Cricetulus griseus (Chinese hamster). Lineage: Eukaryota; Metazoa; Chordata; Mammalia; Rodentia; Cricetidae. The record is from RNAcentral.